Mus spicilegus (steppe mouse) is the source of this 284-nucleotide unclassified non-coding RNA. Its record names the gene 7SK. It matches the Rfam family "7SK RNA". From Rfam's summary of the family: 7SK was discovered as an abundant small nuclear RNA in the mid-70s but a possible function has only recently been suggested. Two independent studies have found that 7SK RNA binds the CDK9/cyclin T complex (known as elongation factor P-TEFb). Lineage: Eukaryota; Metazoa; Chordata; Mammalia; Rodentia; Muridae. The record is from Ensembl.
UGACGUGAUUUGGUUGUGGUAUUUGGCACCCCCAUUAACUGCUAAGGCUGCUUAGGUUAUCGGGCUAGUGAAGUUUAGUGUCUGCUCUCUCCUCUCAUACUUGGUGGAGCAGACGGCAUUUCCUGAUGAAGAAAGACAGCCUUCCUUCUGCCAAGGCUGUCCGAGUAGCUCUGUUCCCAUGCUAGAAUCUUCAAGUAAGCUUUUAAAGGCCACCAUUGGAUAGCCAAGCUGUAAGACCCUAUCCCCAUCCCAGUGAGACCCUGCAUAGGGUAGUCUGUUUACAG